UACGUAGGGUGCGAGCGUUGUCCGGAAUUCUUGGGCGUAAAGAGCUCGUAGGCGGUGUGUCACGUCGGCCGUGAAAACCUGCAGCUUAACUGUGGGCGUGCGGUCGAUACGGGCAUCACUGGAGUUCGGCAGGGGAGACUGGAAUUCCUGGUGUAGCGGUGAAAUGCGCAGAUAUCAGGAGGAACACCGGUGGCGAAGGCGGGUCUCUGGGCCGAUACUGACGCUGAGGAGCGAAAGCGUGGGGAGCAAACAGG
RNAcentral lists this ribosomal RNA (254 nucleotides) under uncultured bacterium. RNAcentral's name for it is "partial 16S ribosomal RNA". It matches the Rfam family "Bacterial small subunit ribosomal RNA", at positions 524 to 776 of the family's 1533-position model. The record is from RNAcentral.